AAACAUGUUCUUAAUUUAUGUAAGGCAUUGAUUAAUGGUCUUAGAUUAUUUGGAUAAACUAUUGCAGUUCAACUGUGCAACUAAUGUAUCGUAUAAAGUGUCACAUUAAACAAGAUGAAAGAUCAUUAAACUGAUUAAGAACUGACCAUCAAAUCUUAGAUGGAAUUGAUUACGCCACAUCACUCCCCGCUAAACAAAAUUCGUUUUCACUCGAAUUAAAAAAAAUCAUACCAAAAAUAUUAUAUAAGUAAAAAAUAAGGGGAGGCAAUGUGAACAUUAAAAAAUAAACUUUUUCUUUGACUAAAACUACUUAAAAAAAUCUAAACUAAUAAUAAUGAAAAAAAAUAAUGAUAAUUGCUAUACCAUGUAAUUUAUCAAUUUACGUCGUGAAUAGUUGUGGAAAACUUGCAAAAAGAUUACUCUUAAAAUCUAAAUUAACAAUUAUCCUUUCAACUUCAAACUCUUGAUAUUUAUAACUACAAAAGAGGCACUAAACAAAAAUCAUAAAAAUAUAUAACACAAGUUUGACAAUUAUUAAUCUAUUCAAAUACAUUAUGGUAAGGUCUAAUCGCGAAUUUUGACCGUUAAUCCAAGCGUAAACAAAAUGAUAAAAUAAUUAAAAGCAUCAAUUAAAAUCAACUAAUCAUUAUCUCUGGGCAAUCCAAUUCAGAAAAUCAGCAUCUCAUUAGCUGCAAUUUUCACUUCUAUGUGACCGUAUCACCAUAGAACUACCAACACUGUAAAUCAUCUUCACAUGGACACUCCCAUGAACCUCCAACUAGUAUAAGCAACCCUUCUCGGUUAACUUAACUACACCCAAUACGCCCACUCUCGUAAUAACAAGAGAUUAAAAACUAGCUUAAUCAAACAUGUGUAAUACAAAAAAAAAAUGCAAAAAAAAAUAUACAAUAAAAAAAAAUAAACCUAGGCAUAAAACAUUCUGAAUGGAUAAAAACAUUUAUGAAAACUUAAAGUUAUUUACAAACAUGAAAAUAUUGUCCACAUGACUUCUUCGGUUUGAACGUGCGGAGCCACUUCUUCGAAUCUUUCAUCAGGAACUUGUCAUUUAUAACGGUUCUUUGCCGGUUUCGGAUCGACGGAUACGCCAGUCCACUCUGUUAUUUACAUUGUACAUAUAUACAUUGUUACCAACACAAAAGUUUCGAUAUACAAGUUACUGCUAGUUUUUUUUAACAUCUCAGAAUCAUCUCAGGUUUCUAUUCAUCAACAAUUCUCACAGGCGUCCUUCUAAUGUUCUUCAAAGUUCGAGGAUAAUGCGUUUCCAUAAAACCAAGGAAACAAAAUGACUGACACAAAAGUUUACAAAUAUUUACAGCAAGUCACUUACAUUAAUAUGUAUACAAAGUCAUCCUAACUCAAUUCUCCGUGGCAUACAUUUCUCACUUCAGUUAUCCUAUAGUUUCUCUUGAACGGAAGCCCAAAUUGCUUCUGUUUUCGGCACACGCCAUAACACAUGAUAACUUUGUAAUUCGUCCAGAUUUCAGACACAUCAUAACUCCGGUUACUGACAUAUUGACCACGGGUACCUCCACCAGAUAUAACGGGGCUUUCUUGUGUGUGUGUUAGGUUUGUUUUGGAACUACAAGUCAUUAUUUCGGAUCUACGUAUCCGGGAUCGUAACUCCAUCUUGCCCGUUAAUAUAGGGAACUAGCUAUUGUA
RNAcentral lists this long non-coding RNA (1680 nucleotides) under Mytilus galloprovincialis (Mediterranean mussel). Lineage: Eukaryota; Metazoa; Mollusca; Bivalvia; Mytilida; Mytilidae. The record is from RNAcentral.